This 105-nucleotide ribosomal RNA is filed under the name Propithecus coquereli (Coquerel's sifaka). Lineage: Eukaryota; Metazoa; Chordata; Mammalia; Primates; Indriidae. The record is from RNAcentral.
GUCUAUGGUCAUACCACCCUGAAUGCACCUAAUCUUGUCUGGUCUUGGAAGCUAACGAGGGUCAGGCCUGGUUAGUACUUGGACAGGAGAAUAAAUCCUUAGAGA